UUCUAAUGCUUGUGCCCGAGGCAGGUAGGUAUAAUGUUUCCUCAACACCAUCUUAUAACACAACGCAGGGGAAACGAAACCUCAGAAUAAAUGGAACAAGUACCCAGAAUAGGUGCAGUAACUACCAUGUAUGACAAGAAAAAUGGAGCUUCGUGUGUAGAAGCCCAGCGAUUUAAUACUGGAAAACAGAUGGAUUGCUUUCCCAAUUCUUCGUUUCAUAUGAUCAUGGUCUACCUGGAAAGCUCAUAGAAUCACAAUCUGAUAUGUGAUUUGGUGGUUGAAAAAGUUAUUUUAUAUGAUAUGAACCCAAGCAACUGAACUUUACAUAAAACUGCAGCAAUUGAUUAAUCAAGGUAAUACAAUGGGGAAAAACAAGUACUUCACAACUUAAAAUAAAACCACAAUUUCGUUUUCUAAGUUACUAAACUUUUGGCAUACAGAUCCUUUUUGGCUUUUAGAACACAAGGUUCAGAGAGUUAACAAGUUGAGAUGGCAUUUGUCAUUUUGUCAGACAAAUCUCUAUGAUAUGAACAGGGCGAAGAAUCAGAGUUUGAUAACCUUUAGACCUUAUCUAAGCUCCCCAAAAUCCUCGAAGAUGAGAUUUUUCUGAGGCAAAUUUUCCAAGCUUAAGAUGAGCAACAUCCAGCCUUUUUAACAGCUGAGACAUCAUCUUUGGAUCCAACAUUGAUCGUCUGUCCUCUGGGCAAAGCUGCUGGGUCAUCUCCGAUGUCAAGAGCCUUCCUGCUAACGACUCGGUAGAUCUGGGUCAGUACCUCCGUGAAUGCAUUCUCCACGUUCAAAGAUUCCAGAGCAGAUGUCUCCAUGAAAAAGGUAUUCUCUCGUUCAGCGAAUCCCUUGGCAUCAUCAGCGGCAACAGCUCGCAGGUGACGCAGGUCUGCCUUAUUUCCUACCAGCAUGAUCACAAUGUUGGCAUCAGUGUGAUCCCUGAGCUCCUUUAGCCAUCUCUGCACAUUUUCAAAUGUGACAUGGCGAGUGACAUCGUAUACUAGUAAAGCUCCAACGGCACCUCUGUAGUAUGCACUUGUGAUGGCUCGAUAUCUUUCUUGGCCGGCGGUAUCCCAAAUCUGAGCCUUGACGACCUUAUCAUCGACGUGAAUGCUGCGGGUGGCGAACUCGACGCCGAUGGUGGAUUUGGAUUCAAGGCUGAAUUCAUUUCUGGUAAAACGAGACAAUAGAUUGGAUUUGCCAACGCCAGAAUCUCCAAUCAAGACGACCUUGAACAAGUAAUCGUAAUCAUCGUCUGCUCUAUAUGCUCCCAUUUGAUACGGCUCUCUCUUAUCCGGGUUUUCUUCUUUCGCUGCUUCUAAUAAUAAUAAUAAUAAU
RNAcentral lists this unclassified non-coding RNA (1344 nucleotides) under Hevea brasiliensis (rubber tree). Lineage: Eukaryota; Viridiplantae; Streptophyta; Magnoliopsida; Malpighiales; Euphorbiaceae. The record is from RNAcentral.